Long non-coding RNA from Lycium ferocissimum, 841 nucleotides. RefSeq lists it as uncharacterized. The record is from RefSeq and is a predicted model, not a curated record. The transcript has 2 exons. NCBI's taxonomy places the organism in Eukaryota, Viridiplantae, Streptophyta, Magnoliopsida, Solanales, Solanaceae.
AUAAAAUUAGAAAAAACAAAAACAGAUAAUAAUAUAAUUUGCAUCCAAAAAAUUAAUAAUCUGCACAUGCAUGUAAAUGAAACAUAUACUCCUUAUGUUCCAAUUUAUAUAUCUAGAAACUACGUAAAAAAUACUACAAAUCACAAUAAUUAACAACUUAAAAUAUUACGACAUAAAAAGAAAUUUCGGUCAAAGAAUGAUUGACUUUCAAAAUUUGAACUGUGCAACAUAAAUUAGAACGUCUCAAAUUAUCUGUCGUGGUUACUAUUGUUGUCUCGAAUUAUUUUAUCGUGUUAGAAGUUCAAUGCACAAUUACUUAUUUUUUCUUUAUUUUAUCCUUGAUAGAAUUUUAUCAUUAUUUAACAUGCCAUAUAAAUAAAGAAAACGUUUACUAGCGCUAGAUUAUAGUUUAGACAUAAAUAAAAAUAAAGUUAGUAUCAAAUACCCUCACUGAUUAAUAUUGCUUAAGGGCGAGUAACAUUUUAGUAGUUUAUCUGAAAAUUUACCUAGGUAAUUAGUAGCAAAAGUCAUCUCAAUUCCGUCCUCAGAAAUGGCGUGCUGGUGAGCGAAUUUCCCGGCGUUAUUUCUGCAAUCAAACAGAUAAAACGUGAACCUCAAAAAUUCAUAAAAAAAAAAAAAAAAAAACUGAAAAAACAUAUACUCCUAUAACUGAUGGGAAUUAAAGAGCUAUGGCGAAUGAAGCUUACAUGAGAAGAUUGAGAGGAAAAUUAAGAUAUUCAAAUUCGGUAACGAACUUUCGUACGGAACUGAGAGAACUAAGAUCGAGAGCCAUAACGAUAAUCUCUGCUUCUGGUGAUUCAGAAAGAAUUCGAACUUUGGU